CUCCUUUCUCCUUCCCUCUUGAAGGAGAAGCCUUGAGUUGUGCAUCUUCUCUUGAUUUUACUGAGGUAUGGUAGCUAUAGCAAACUGCCUACUGCCUUUUUUUUUAACUUUUGCUCUCAGUGGCUCCAAGGCAUCGAAACUAUGCUAGUUCCAUGAGUGCUCCAAGUGAGGCAAGACAGAGACUAGUCCCUUGGGCAGCCCUCUGAAGAGCCAGAAUGCCAACACAUGCUCCACUCUUCUCCCUCCUUGCCAAGGAAGAAGUCUUAACUUGUGCACUUCCUCCCCCAAUUGUGCCAUGCUGUGCCAACCAUAUCAAGCCACCUGCUGCUUUCCAUUGUCCUCAGUGACCCCCAGACAUUCAAAUUAUGCUAGUUCUGUGGGCACACCAAUCAAGGAAGUAAGAGACCUGUUUCUUGGGCAGCUCUCUGAAAAGCUGGAAUGUUGGAGGCAUGCUCUAUUCUUUUCUCCCAGAGGAAAAAGAUGUGAAGAGGCAUUCUGUCUUGGCACUGAGCUGUGCUAACUUGGGGGAGAGGCUGAUGCAGGUAAAUGAAAUUGCUCUUCUUAACUCAAUUCAAUUUGACUAUUCUGUACUUUGUGCACACUUGGAAUACUGCAACAUCUUAAUUGAAGUCUGGAAUUCAUAUAAAAGAGUCAAAGAUUUCAGUGAUGAACAAGAUAGGCAAGGAGAUGUUUGAUAGGAGGACACACACAAUAUAUAGACAUAAAUAAUAAAUAAUAUAUAUUAUUUUCUAUACUUAGUUAAACGAAAAUAAGUUAUAGUUAUUUGAAAGAGAUUGGUAAAUGAGAGUAAGGUAGCUAUUUUUCUAUAGAAAGUAAAGUAAGGCAUCUCUGAGCAGGUAGCAUCUGAGCUGACACCUAAACAACAAGAAAUAUUCAACAACAAGAGGACCUAGAACUCAGUAUUUCAGGCAGACAAACAGCAAAUGUGAGCUUCACAGGGUUUAAGAACAAUCUAGGAACAGUGAAUAAAAGGAAAAAGGAAAAGAAAGGAGUUUAAAGAGGUAGGCAGGGUUCCGUUCAUGUUCACAAUGCUGAAGGUCACGAGGAUGGGGUUAGAUUUUAUUCCAAUUGUAAGAAGAAACUAUUGGAGGAUUUUAGGCAGGGAAGCGAUGUGAUUUGAUUUAUGUUUUAAAAAGAUCACUAUGGCUUCUGCAUAGUGGAUGAGGAAAACAAAGCAAGACACAUUAAAUGGUUUGUCCUAGACUACAAGGUAAAUCACAGAACAAGAACUGUCUUCUGACUCCAAAUCCAGCCUUUUUCAUCAUUUACCUUGUGACCUCAUCAUUUUCUAUUUUUUAAAAAUCAUUUUGUCCUCCAGACAUGAUCUUCAUUUCUACCUUCUCAGAUUAUUCUAGCAGUUACUAAAUUACGUUUUUAUUUAUUCUUCUCACAGAUUGACCUUGCUAGGUUAUAGAGGCAUGUUCUAUCGUCUUUAUUAAGGUAUGCCAUUUAGUGAGGGUAUGCUUAGUGCAGGUUGUAUGUAUAAUUAAAUGUACAAUUAUGAUCCUACAAUAAAACACAACAGAUUAAUAACUUUCCUACUGAGAGGAAACUGAAAAGUAGGACAAUAGUAAAGGAAAACUAAUUCUUUAUGUUUGUAAGUGAUUUUCAUCAAUGGCUUCCACUAAUUCUUUUCAAUUUUCCAAAUAAAUAAAACUUAAGUAACUUUUAAUUUUCUUUUAUAAAGUCAACUCUUGUCUAGAGAAAUUUGAGGUGUUUCACUCUUGUUGCCCAGGCUGAAGUGCAAUGGCACGAUCUCGGCUCACUGCAACCUCCGUCUCCCGGGUUCAAGUGAUUCUUCUGCCUCAGCCUCCCGAGUAGCUGGAAUUACAGGCAUAUGCCACCACACCCAGCUAAUUUUCCAUUUUUAGUAGGGACGGGGUUUUACCAUGUUGGUCAGGCUGGUCUUGAACUCCUGACCUCAGGUGAUCCACCUGCCUUGGUCUCCUAAAGUGCUGGGAUAGCAAGCAUGAACCGCUGCGUCUGGCCCAUUUUUCUUAUUCUUAAACAUCCUACUAAACAUUUUGGAGCUAGUUGUAUUAGGAGGUUUAUUUUCUAUGUGGAUGGAGCAGUUUAAAAAAGCUGAAAUAAGUGAAAUCUUCCAAGUGAUUUAAAAAAUUUUUAAGCCCAUGUUUCUACCUACUAAAAUUCAAAAAUAUUUACUAUAGAAGAUGACUAGUCUUCUUUAUGACAGUUAUUUUAAUUUAAAAGGAAUUAAAAGGAUAUAACUUUUCUUGAAACAUUUGCACUUAAUCAUGCUGUCAAUUCAUUAUAUGAUUUUGGAUUACUUGCUUAAUGUUUCUAUUUCUUCUCUGUUAAUACUAAUUACUCCUAAUAAUUAU
This 2363-nucleotide long non-coding RNA is filed under the name Homo sapiens (human). RNAcentral describes it as "HSALNT0271070". Lineage: Eukaryota; Metazoa; Chordata; Mammalia; Primates; Hominidae. The record is from RNAcentral.